Molecule: ribosomal RNA, 320 nt
Filed under: uncultured eukaryote
Lineage: Eukaryota
Description: partial 18S ribosomal RNA
Rfam family: Eukaryotic small subunit ribosomal RNA
Source: RNAcentral
CCCCUAGAUGUUCUGGGCCGCACGCGCGCUACACUGAACAGUUCAACAAGUCUUAACCUUGGCCGAUAGGUCUGGGUAAUCUUUGAACGCUGUUCGUGAUUGGGAUAGACCUUUGCAAUUAUGGGUCUUCAACGAGGAAUUCCUAGUAAACGCAAGUCAUCAGCUUGCAUUGAUUACGUCCCCGCCCUUUGUACACACCGCCCGUCGCACCUACCAAUUGAAUGGUCCGGUGAAAUCUCGGGACGGCGGCUUGGUCGCUUGCGUCCGACUGCUGAAACUUGAUUAAACCAUAUCAUUUAGAGGAAGGUGAAGUCGUAACA